AUGUAUGAACACUCGCUGUCGAGAUGGACGACGGUGCGAGAUCAGGACCACGAUAUUCUGGUCGGACGGUACUUGGACGAGGACAAGCGGAUUCACGCAGGUACACAUUUAAUCAUUGAUGAUUUCGAGAUCCUUGUUUUGGAUUGCAUGCAGGUUCCAUUAGACGAGGCGGAUCAAGUAGAGGUCGUGGAUCUAUCUUCAGAACCUGGAAGCCCAAUACUGAAGCCGAAGAUCGGAGGAAGGUUUUGGGUCUUGGCCGACGAUGAAGAUGAAGAAGAUGACGCUGAAGUCCGAAGAUCACCUGGUGCCACGGGGUCGACGUCGCCCGGGCGUUUUUCGAAGUGUACGACUCCAGUUGCUGAUUCCUUCAUGCGGAUCAUACCUGGCGAGGGUCACAAGGACAGGAAGAUCGCCGAUCCACGACAGGCGGCUCUAUACAAACCCACGGCGGUGGGGAUCAAGCCUUGGAAGGGCCCCCUUCCUAAGGUUAUUUUCAGAGCCACGGCGUUGAUCCGUUCGUGGUCGCUACUCACUUCGACGGAGGCCAGGGAGCGUUUGGUUACUGGAUCUAUCCGCUGGGAGAUGGUAGCUCGGGAUAUCUUCAACCGGUUUGGAUGGCGAUCAUGUAAUAGGAUAGGCAAUUAG
Molecule: ribosomal RNA, 645 nt
Filed under: Triticum aestivum (bread wheat)
Lineage: Eukaryota; Viridiplantae; Streptophyta; Magnoliopsida; Poales; Poaceae
Description: partial small subunit ribosomal RNA
Source: RNAcentral